GGGGCGGUGCCGGGGGCUGUGAGCGUCUGGGCAGGUGCUGGAUGAGGGCGGCCUCUGCUGGAACUCCGCUGCGGGGAGGAGGACGCUGAGGAGGCGCCGAGCCGCGCAGCGCUGCGGUGAGGUGCCCAAGCGGACGCGGGGCCUAUGGCCAGGACCACCAGCCAGCUGUUUCUCAAGUCUUCGACCCGGAAGAGGUGGCAGACAUCAUCAACUACAAAUGAGGAGGACACGGAGGCCCAGACACCAGAGGCUUGUCCCAGGCACCAGACGCGCAGAGCGGCGCUGUGACCUCACACAACAGCCGUGCGGCACACGUACAGGACUGUCAGCUGGUUCCGAGUCAGUUGUACCUACAGGAGGCCCCUCGAUGCUCCGUGUGCACCCGGAGAUCUGAAACCUUCCAGCACAUUUGGACAAUAAAAGGAAGGCAAGGGCUCUGGGCAGAGACGGGAUGCAUGUGCCAGGGCUCUGGGUCUAUUCUGACCCACAGCGCUGCCCCUGGACACCUCCCCUGGACACAAAGCCCCUCAGACAUCAGGACCCUGACCGCCAGCCUGGCUCCUCAGCCCCUGACGGACACCAUUCAAAGGACUGCAGCUUAGCCAAACAGGGACGGACUCACAGACGGAGAGCAGGUGACAGCUUAUGGGACGGUGGAGGUUACGGGGUGGAGGGAUUCAUCGAAAAGGAAGGAGGACGCAUAGACAACAAUGUGCUGAUUGCUGCGGGGAGGGGGGUAUAAGGGGACUAAAUGGUAAUGGGAGAAAUACAAUAAAGCUCAAGUAAAAAUGAUUAAAAAACACUAUUGUUGCUUAGAAA
Phyllostomus hastatus (greater spear-nosed bat) is the source of this 819-nucleotide long non-coding RNA. RefSeq lists it as uncharacterized. NCBI's taxonomy places the organism in Eukaryota, Metazoa, Chordata, Mammalia, Chiroptera, Phyllostomidae. The transcript has 2 exons. The record is from RefSeq and is a predicted model, not a curated record.